Molecule: unclassified non-coding RNA, 4150 nt
Filed under: Leishmania donovani
Lineage: Eukaryota; Euglenozoa; Kinetoplastea; Trypanosomatida; Trypanosomatidae
Description: gene:LdHU3.34.0090(CDS-product:hypothetical_prote in_conserved)
Source: RNAcentral
GCUUCUUGUAUCGUCAUAUUCGACGCUGCGCUGCCGCGGGAACAAAGAAAAAGCGUAUAGUGAACUCGGCGGCGCACGCAGACGGAUUACCUGUUGUGCGUGCGGCGCUCCACAUCCAGCUCGGCUUUGAAAACCGAAGUAGUUGAAGCAAAAGCAAAACAUGCAUGUCGAAAUUCGGCUAUGUGGGGUGGAGCAGGCCUGCGCUUUCGACCCACAGAGCUUUUACCGCGUAAAGCAGCUCCUGUCCUCAUACAAUGGGCAAGGCAGCGGCGCUGAGGAAACUGCCAGGCGCGCCUGGAACGGCGGCUCGCUGUUGCGUCUUCGGCACACGACGCCUUUCACCCCCGAGCUGAAGCUGCAGGUCGUGGUGGAGAGUCUCAUUGAGAUGGAGAGCAGAUGCUUCAGUGCCGUGAUGGACAAGAAGCAACAUGAGGCGCGCAUCAAGAGUAACUGGAACAACAGUGCUGUCGGAACAGCCUAUCACAGCGCAGACGUGGACGAGGUGAUUCUGGCAGCCCUUCCUACGGCUGCCGCCGACAGCGUCGUGAAAAUUCGUCUGCUGCAGCUCCCCCCACCACUUGAUUACGACGCACAGCAAGUUGUGAAGAGAGCGAUCGGCGACGCCACCGUCAGCAGGCACAGACACGACACUCCCCUGUGCAUUGGUGUUGCAAAGAUAAGCCUGCGGGAGCUGAUGUUGGCCAGGAGAACAGUCAGCAUUGCGAUGCAGGCGAAGCGGGCCGUUGUGAGUACCGUGGAGGCUCACAACCUAGACACGUUGAUCACGAAUGCUAUGUUCGGCCGAGGAGAGAGGAACGGGAGCGCCGUUCUCUCUGUGCAGUUUAACGGCUACACUUUCGGACGCGUUCCGAGGGGGAAGUCCAUACGGAGUCACAGCCCCACGGAUACGACGAAGCGCAUCACCGCUGCCAUGGAUUCCGACGCGCCAUUGCCAAGUGCUUCGAGUGGAGCAGCCGAGGAGGCUGCUAUCGGGAUGGAAGAGACUCUCAAUUCGCCAGCCAUCCGCUUUGUACUACUUCCGUACGUUGCACUUGUCGACGUACUCCUGCGCAUGGUUGACGUGACUUCCUGGCGCGUGCCUCGGAAGACAGGGAUGGCGCUCGCAGCGGUUGUCAUAGCGCUCUACUCGGACCUCUUUGACAUGUUGUUCGUGCUGACUGUGGCACUUGGUGUAUUAAGCGUCCUUCGUAACAUUUCGCUGUUCUGCUACGUUCCUGCGAGUGACAGCACUGCCGCUCGUGUCGCUGCUGCACCUGUGGGGGGCAGCGGUGUCACCAAGUUUCAGCCGUUUCUCUACAGUCGCGAGAACGCCUUCCUGAACAGUCUGCUGCGCGCGCGCGUCUUUUUCUCGCGUGGUCUGAUGGAGGACACGUACUAUGAGCUUGCGUUGGCUGCCCACAUAGCCCGGCGCAACCGCCGACGGCUGGUCGGGUUCGGUUUAGCUGUGUGCUUCAGCUUUGCCUUCCUCUCCAUGGGGACCGUGAUCAUUCUCCUUACACUGGGCGCCUUUACAGCGUACCCGGUUUUUCUCAACCUGCCCAACACACUUCGACGCACCCGCAGGAGGAAAGGGUCGGCUUUGGCGCUCAUUAGGUAUGCUGCCAGCGCAAUACGCGUGCCACGGAGAUACAAAGUGGUACGUGUCAUCCGAGUGGCAGUGGCCCGCGCAAAAACCACAUCGCUGUCGUCUCGCAACGACUCCAUUGCCGGAUCUGGGGCAGAGAGCCUUCAGCAGCAGUUCCUCAACUGCAUUCGCCAGCAAGCCGAGUCGAAUGGGGUGCGGUCGCCGACGGAGAGAUCAGAGAUCUCACUGAAAACGAGGGAGAAAAACAAUCUCACGGUGGGCCGCCGAACGCGAACCGUGGAUUUCGACGUCCUUCCCAGCAACGCUGUUAACUUUGCAUCUACCCUCGAUCGGUUUCAGGUCACUCACGUCAUGCGCUAUUUUGUGGCUCUGUGCUUCUCUUCAAACGUAAUGGAAACACCGGAACUGGCUAGCACGACCAGUGGCUUGCGAAAGGCGUCUUCCAACGCGGUUCUUCAGCGUCGCCUGUGCUAUCAGCUGAGACAGGCGCGAAUGGUAAGUGAUCUGCUGCCGUCAGCUUUACCGCAGCCGACCAACAUCUCAACGGGUGGUGGCUUGGCUACGAUUAGUCAGCAAGGCGGGUCCGUCGUCGGUGAUGCGAAGCCGUUGGCAGUGUCCAAGGAGAUACAGGAGGCCUUUCAGAGCUACUUCAUCAGCACCCUGAACCUUCUAUUCUAUCUGCGGCAGCAGUGGACAUUUCAUCCCUACGUCACGCAGUCCAGCACGACAAAGUGCAUGCCAGACAGCUUGCGCAGCGUGAGCGUGCUGGCCCAGCCGCAGGGCCUUAUCGAUGCUGGCGAAGACGACGGAGUCACCAAGGCGCUCAUGGCGAGGCGCAACUCAAUGUCGAACCCGCCGAUGGUAGGCAUGUUUAACAGCAGCAAUUCUGUCGAGGUGAGUGGGCGAGUAAUGGCACUCUACGCAGCGUAUUUGCUGCAAGGCGCACGUCUUUCAGUGUACACGUCCUCCAGUGGAUGCGCCACCGUGCUACCGCUGCGUGCCCCGGGAAAUUGUAUGGAGCGGUUUCCGCAACCCAAUCCCUGCCCGGCGGAUCUUUUGAAUACGCUGGACUCGGUGUGGCGCGGGGAGACGAGUGACACGGCAGGGAAAGGGGAGGAGGUGUACUUCAAUGCAGAUGCCGUGCUGCAAAUCAUUACUGUGUACAAAGACUACUGGGAAGGCGGCGCGAACUUGGCAACGACGCGAUCCUCGGUGCGCCUCGAAAGCAGUGCAGCCGGCGAGAACCACUUCGGCAACACGCUAAUGCGAAGUUCGAUUCGGGGCGCUCUCGUCUCUGCGUCGCCGGUGCCCCGUCAACAGACAGCACCGCUGAGUGCCACGACGUCCCUCACACGCUCUCCGCGCCAGCUGACCACAGCGCUGACAGGGCUCGCCGGCGCGGCUGGCAGUGCAGGACAGCCUCGAGGUGACAUCAGUCCCAAUCCCGCUAGCAGCACACGCGACGUCAAUGCUGGGCUCGCCGCGCUGCCCCUUCUUCCCGCAGCGAUGGCUGAGCCGUACACGACAAAUGCAGGCUGCGAGAUAUCUUUUUCCUCCUCUGCUAAGGCCAAUUCAAUUUCAAACAAAGCGCUGAGUGAUCCGCCCGUGCUUGAUGCAACCUGCAAUCGCAAUGUGAAUGGGCGACAACUAGCCGACCAUGAGAGGGCGACGAAUUCUGACCCGAAUUGUAGCGGCUCCCAAACGGGUGCCGGAAAGGGGAACUCAGCGGAGAGGUUGUCGAAAUCGAAGAGGUGAUGCCUUUUGUGUAGCUUCAGUGCGAUGCCGCGCUAUGAGUUGCCUGUCGUGUUCUCCUAGUGAGGUGUCCGCCGUGUCGACGUGGCUGUCUGUGUGUGCUUGACUGCUCUUCUAAGCACCAGAGAAUGGCCGCGUCAGACUCUCGCGCACCUCCCUCCCCGCCCCCCUCUGAGCCGCCUCCCUCUCGGCCCUCCUCACAAGAGAACAUCGGAAGAAAAAGACGAUGCGUGCUUGAGGACACGGGACCUCGCCUUUUGCUUCUUUUUCCCUCUCCUGCCAAGUGCGACCUCGGCCGUCACCGAGAGUUGCCACACUUCACGGCGUACUUCCUACCAUUAUUUGCUUUGUGUGGGCGGCGGUGUACUGCCGCUGCGAGUGCCCUUUCACGGCUUUCUUGCACGUCCUUGAUAGAGCGUCAGCGGGUCAGUGCGUAACUUUUUUUUCUCUCCCGAUUCCGCCCUUACCUGCCAAUCUGCGGAAGCUGAACUUUGUGUGACGCGCGGCGAGAAGAGUCGGGCGCAUCUUUGUCUUCUUUCCUCUUCACGUCAGUCGUGCACUCAUACCGGCAAGCUUUGCUGUACACUGCUUAUGUUUGUGUCGUCUCUCUCCCCCGCCUUUUGGGGAAUGGCUGCGUAGCGUCGAUAUGCAGCCGGAAAAGGCCCACAAGUGAAAGAAGCCUGCUUCUGUCUGGCCAUUAGAGGGUGACUCGUAUGCGAGUGCACUCUACUGCGUCGUCCUCUCUACGUACUGCAUUGCUGCGCUGUCAAAUCGCACUAGACUAGGAUCUCU